RNAcentral lists this ribosomal RNA (503 nucleotides) under uncultured Desulfobulbus sp. RNAcentral describes it as "bacterial SSU rRNA". It matches the Rfam family "Bacterial small subunit ribosomal RNA", at positions 904 to 1382 of the family's 1533-position model. The record is from RNAcentral. Lineage: Bacteria; Pseudomonadati; Thermodesulfobacteriota; Desulfobulbia; Desulfobulbales; Desulfobulbaceae.
UUGCCAGCCCGCUCAGAACUCAAGGAAUUGACGGGGCCGCACAAGCGGUGGAGUAUGUGGUUUAAUUCGAUGCAACGCGAAGAACCUUACCUGGUCUUGACAUCCCGGAGACCCUUAGGAAACUAGGGGGUGCUUCCAUCUGGAAGAAUCUGGAGACAGGUGCUGCAUGGCUGUCGUCAGCUCGUGUCGUGAGAUGUUGGGUUAAGUCCCGCAACGAGCGCAACCCUUGCCUUUAGUUGCCAGCAGUUCGGCUGGGCACUCUAAAGGGACUGCCGGUGUUAAACCGGAGGAAGGUGGGGAUGACGUCAAGUCCUCAUGGCCUUUAUGACCAGGGCUACACACGUACUACAAUGGCCGAUACAAAGGGCAGCGACACUGCGAGGUGAAGCCAAUCCCGUAAAAUCGGUCUCAGUCCGGAUUGGAGUCUGCAACUCGACUCCAUGAAGUUGGAAUCGCUAGUAAUCGUGGAUCAGCAUGCCACGGUGAAUACGUUCCCGGGCCUU